UCACCUAAGGCUAAAUAUUGGCGAGAGACCGAUAGCGAACAAGUACCGUGAGGGAAAGAUGAAAAGAACUUUGAAAAGAGAGUUAAACAGUACGUGAAAUUGUUGAAAGGGAAACGAUUGAAGUCAGUCGUGCUGGCGCGAAAUCAACCCUCUCAUCGGGAGAUCACAUGUUGUGGCGAGCCUCAAAACCGCCACAGCGUGUGACCUCACGAUGAGGGGGAGCACUUUCGUGUCCGCUGGUUAACAUCAAUUUCGAACGUCAUAAAAAGGCUGGAGGGAUGUGGCUCCUUCGGGAGUGUUAUAACCUUUAGCGGAAUGUGGUGGUCGGGAUUGAGGAUUGCAACGAAUACCUUUAGGGCUGUUCCACCUGGCCUCUCUUUGGUAUCCUGGUGACGACAGCUUGCUGACGUUGUCAGGAUUCGCCUUUGAACAGGCUAGAGUGUGAGCAA
RNAcentral lists this ribosomal RNA (449 nucleotides) under Entrophospora claroidea. Its description in RNAcentral is "partial 26S ribosomal RNA". It matches the Rfam family "Eukaryotic large subunit ribosomal RNA", at positions 306 to 632 of the family's 3401-position model. The record is from RNAcentral. Lineage: Eukaryota; Fungi; Glomeromycota; Glomeromycetes; Entrophosporales; Entrophosporaceae.